GAGGGCAUAGCUCAGUGGUAAAGCACGUGCUUAGCAUGCGCAAGGUCCUGGGUUCAAUCCCCAGUACCUGCU
RNAcentral lists this transfer RNA (72 nucleotides) under Camelus bactrianus (Bactrian camel). It matches the Rfam family "tRNA". From Rfam's summary of the family: Transfer RNA (tRNA) molecules are approximately 80 nucleotides in length. Their secondary structure includes four short double-helical elements and three loops (D, anti-codon, and T loops). Lineage: Eukaryota; Metazoa; Chordata; Mammalia; Artiodactyla; Camelidae. RNAcentral also lists the same sequence under 2 other names. The record is from Rfam by way of RNAcentral.